UGAGAGCUUAGCUUAAUUAAAGUGCUCGAUUUGCGUUCGAGUGAUGCAAGGUAGAGUCUUGUAGUUCUUA
This 70-nucleotide transfer RNA is filed under the name Antechinomys laniger. RNAcentral's name for it is "tRNA-Ala". It matches the Rfam family "tRNA". From Rfam's summary of the family: Transfer RNA (tRNA) molecules are approximately 80 nucleotides in length. Their secondary structure includes four short double-helical elements and three loops (D, anti-codon, and T loops). The record is from RNAcentral. Lineage: Eukaryota; Metazoa; Chordata; Mammalia; Dasyuromorphia; Dasyuridae.